AGGCAGCUGGAUGGCUCAGUGAAUUGAGAGUCAGGCCCAGAGAUGGGAGGUCCUGGGUUCAAAUAUGGCCUCAGACACUUCCUGCUGUGUGACCCUGGGCAAGUCACUUAACCCCCAUUGCCUACCCUUACUGCUUCUCUGUCUUAGAACCAAUAUUCAAUAUUGAUUCUAAGACAGAAGGUAAGGGUUAAAAAAAUUCUAUUCCUCUGGGAGAACACUAUAUACAAUAAUAGCAAUAUUGGAUGAUGAUUAUCUAUGAAAAUGUGACCACUCUCAGCAAUUCAUUGAUCUGGGACAAUCCUAAAAGACUUAUGACAGGGAAAGCUAUCCACCUCCAGAGAAAGAACUAUUGGAGUUGUCUUUCACAUCAGUAUAUUUUUAGUUUUAUUUGGGGGUUUUGGUUACAUUUGAGUUUUCUCUUACAACAAUGACCAAUAUAUAAGUGUGUUUUUCAUGACAAUAAAAAGGAAAAAAAUAAUACAAAUAAAAAUAAUGUUUUUUCCAUGCACUAAUCCUAAAGGUUUACAAUUCUGUUUUCCCUGAUACUGGUUAAUAAAAAGCAUCGGUUCCCUGUAGCCUUUCCAAAAAUGUGUGGUUGUAUGUUUAGUUUGGGUUUGGAGAUUUUUUAUUUUUUGAGAUCUGCUUGUUUACAUUUGCUAGCACACUCCUGGCACAGUUCCAGCAGUUCAGGAAUAGAAGCAAAUAGUGGGUGUGACCCGGGGUAGAGGACUGGCAUGGUGUGUGGCAUCGGCAAAGAACCAGAGAAAUGAGGCAUUCAGCAAUGGAAGACAGCAGUAAUUCACACUUAAACCGGUUAGCUGUAGGGUCAAGACUGAAGUGAGGCCAGAGAUGGGGAGAGGAGAACAGAAACUAACCCAGUCCAUUACCUUCCUUUCCAGAAAUGAACACAAUUCAUCAGGCGUCCUCUGGAAUGAUGUCUGGUCAUUGGGAAAUUCUGUUCCUGGGUUUAUACCACAAGGAAGCCACUGAAAAGAAGAAAGUCCCCAUGUCCACCAAAAUAUUUAUAGCAGCACUUGUUGUGAUAGCAAAGAAUUGGAAAUCAGAGGUGAUGGAAGCAGGCACUGUGGAAUGCUUAGAGCCUGGUCAGACAUGGAAGAAGCCAAGGUCAUCCACUGCAUCCUGAGCCAUCACCAGUCAUCUUGAGUUUUGUCUUGCCACUGGACUUUGAUGACUCUGGAAAAAAAAGAGAGACUGAUGACUUUGUGCAACUCUGCCUCUCUUAAACCCAGUCGUUACCUGAAUUAAAAGAUGUCACCAGUGAUGUAAUUUUGGUCCUCUUCAAGUAAGAAGCAUAACAACCAGCCAACCUCCAUCUGAAUGUAAGCUCCUGGAGGGUAGGAACUUUCUUUUUGCUUGUAUUUGUAUCUGCAGCACUUCCCUUCCAUCUUAGAAUCAAUACUGUAUAUUGGUUUGGAGGCAGAAGAGUGGUAAGGGCUGGGUAAUGGGGGUUAAGUGACUUGUCCAGGGUCACACAGUUAGGACAUGUCAGGUUAGAUUUGAACC
This 1524-nucleotide long non-coding RNA is filed under the name Monodelphis domestica (gray short-tailed opossum). RNAcentral's name for it is "lncRNA (ENSMODG00000049247.1)". The record is from RNAcentral. Lineage: Eukaryota; Metazoa; Chordata; Mammalia; Didelphimorphia; Didelphidae.